CUUCAGGGCUGGCAGUGUGCGUGUUUAUUUCUUUUGCUCAGUUUUGUUUGAAACCUUGGAUGAUAGUUUUGUGACGGAGAGUGGAAUCAUCACUCUCUAGCAUUAUCAUCAUCAUCAUCAUCGUCACCUUCAGCAGUAGCAGCAGCAGGUUCCCGAUGAAGGUUAAAAAGUAGCAACUGCAAAACUCUCAAGAGCAACGGUUCAACUGCUACCAACCACCAACCACGUCUCCAUUCGCUUGCCCAGCCCGCGACACUUUCGACGAACUGACCACUGACUGACUCCCCAAACCCGCCUUAUUGCACCCUCCCCCCUUCACCGGCAAAGUGCAAAAGUGUCGAAAGUGAAGCAGCAAAGCCAUCUCGCCAGCAAAGCGCAAGUGAAACAAACGAACGAGUGAAGACGACGGUGCUGACGGCCCACAGGUAGUAGAGGGAAAAGUUAAAAGUCUGUGAUUAAAUUCAAUUAGUGCGGCAAGCAAAAAACCUUCCGCGCGCCGCGCUCCACAUUUGCUACAAUAAAGUGUCAUCGCAUCAUUGCAUCCGCUGCAAGAAAGGAAAAUCUAAAGCCGCGGGUGCAUACUGUCA
Anopheles moucheti is the source of this 587-nucleotide long non-coding RNA. RefSeq lists it as uncharacterized. The transcript has 3 exons. NCBI's taxonomy places the organism in Eukaryota, Metazoa, Arthropoda, Insecta, Diptera, Culicidae. The record is from RefSeq and is a predicted model, not a curated record.